This 1541-nucleotide long non-coding RNA is filed under the name Mustela putorius furo (domestic ferret). Its description in RNAcentral is "lncRNA (ENSMPUG00000024133.1)". Lineage: Eukaryota; Metazoa; Chordata; Mammalia; Carnivora; Mustelidae. The record is from RNAcentral.
CAGGACUUCUGCACCAGCCACAGGCUAGCAGAGAGCAGUGAGGAGCCUGAGCGAAUGCAAAGGAGUAAGACGGGGGACCUUACGACAAGUGAACCUGUUCCCUAAGCCAUCUGUUUAGGCAGAUCCCUCCUAGCAGCCCGGAGCUACUAGGGAGCAGGACGGGGGUCUCUGAAACACAAGUCACCAGUGGGAAUAAGGCCACUGGGCAGGAGGUUGUUUGUCUUUCCUCCCUCUCAGUGGGUGGAGUUUGCAAAGGGCACACGGAGUAUUUUUUCUGGCUGGCCCCAUGUCCUUCCCGUGCAAUGCCUAGGGGAUGCUACCAGAGGCUCCUGAGAGUGGCAAUGGACUGGCUUCCAGAAAGACAAGUUAAAACCCUGCUCCAAGGUCUACAGGUGUCCAUUCAAGAAGAAGAUUAGAUCUUCGGACACGAAAGUCAUCCUCCUAGUCCCAGAGAGAGAGUGUGUGCCAGUGGGGGAAGAGGCAGAGGAAGAGGAGAGAGAGAGAAUCUCAGGCAGACUCCCUGCUGAGCGUGAAGCCCCAUGGCGCACUCAGUCCCACAACCCCAAGAUCGUGACCUGAGCCGAAAUCAAGAGUCAGAUGCUUAACUGACUGAGCUACCCAAGUGCCCCCUUAACUACUUUUAAGUAUUCAGUUCAGUGAUAUUAAAUACAUUCCUAGUGUUGUGCAGUCACCAUCACCACCCAACUCCAUAACUCUUUCCACCUUGUGAAACUGAAAUUCUGUCCCCACUAAUCACCACCUCCCAGUCCCUUCCCCCGUCCCAGAGGCCCAGCAACCAUCAUUCUACUUUCUAAACCUCUAUGAUUUUGAUGACUCUAAGCAUCUCCUAUAAGUGGAAUCAUACAGUAUUUUUAAUCUUUUUGUGACUGGUUAAUUUCACUGAGCAUAAUAUCCUCAAGGUCCAUCCAUGUUGUAGUCUGUGUCAGAGUUAUUUUGGGUGUAUACCCAGAAAUGGAAUUGCUGGAUCAUAUGGCAAUUCUAUUUUUAAUUUUUUGAGAAACCUUCAUACUGUGUUCCACAGUGACUAUACCAUUGACGUUUCUUAAAGUGUACAAGGGAUCCCGUUUCUCCACAUCCUCUCUGACACUUGCUAUUUUCCUGUUUUUGUUUUUGUUUUGUUUCAUAGUAGCCAUCCUAAUAGGUGUGGGGUGGUCUUGAUUUGCAUUUCCCUAAUGAUUAAUAAUGUUGAGCAUUUUUCAUGUGCUUACUGGCCAUUCGUAUAUCUUCUUAGGAGAAAUGUCUAUUUAAGGCCUUUCUUUGUUCAUAUUUGAAGUAGGCUCUAUGUUGAGUUUUAGAAGUUCUCUCUGUAUAAUGGAUGUAAAUCCCUUAUCAGAUAUAUAAUUUACAAUUAUUUCCUCCCAAUCUGUGGGUUGCUUUUUGAUUGUGUUGAUAUUCUUUUGAUGUACAAAAUUUCAAAUUUUCAUAAAAUCCAAUUUGUCUAUUUUUUUCCUUUGUUGUCUGUGCCUUUGAUGUUACAUCUAAAAAAUCAUUGCCAAAUUGAAUGUCAUGAAGUUCUUGCC